RNAcentral lists this ribosomal RNA (301 nucleotides) under uncultured bacterium. RNAcentral's name for it is "partial 16S ribosomal RNA". It matches the Rfam family "Bacterial small subunit ribosomal RNA", at positions 509 to 807 of the family's 1533-position model. The record is from RNAcentral.
CAGCAGCCGCGGGAAAACGAAGGGGGCUAGCGUUGCUCGGAAUGACUGGGCGUAAAGGGCGCGUAGGCGGCGGCCAAAGUCAGGCGUGAAAUUCCUGGGCUCAACCUUGGGGCUGCGCUUGAUACUUGGUUGCUUGAGUGGGGAAGAGGGUCGUGGAAUUCCCAGUGUAGAGGUGAAAUUCGUAGAUAUUGGGAAGAACACCGGUGGCGAAGGCGGCGACCUGGUCCUUGACUGACGCUGAGGCGCGAAAGCGUGGGGAGCAAACAGGAUUAGAUACCCCCGUAGUCCCUGUCUCUUAUAC